This 554-nucleotide ribosomal RNA is filed under the name uncultured Gammaproteobacteria bacterium. RNAcentral describes it as "bacterial SSU rRNA". It matches the Rfam family "Bacterial small subunit ribosomal RNA", at positions 97 to 649 of the family's 1533-position model. Lineage: Bacteria; Pseudomonadati; Pseudomonadota; Gammaproteobacteria. The record is from RNAcentral.
GGCGGACGGGUGAGUAAUACGUAGGAAUCUACCCUAGAGUGGGGGAUAACCCGGGGAAACUCGGGCUAAUACCGCAUAGUCUCUACGGAGUAAAGGUGGCUAGCAAUAGCUAUCGCUAUGGGAUGAGCCUACGCCGGAUUAGCUAGUUGGUAGGGUAAAAGCCUACCAAGGCGACGAUCCGUAGCUGGUCUGAGAGGACGACCAGCCACACUGGGACUGAGAUACGGCCCAGACUCCUACGGGAGGCAGCAGUGGGGAAUAUUGGACAAUGGGCGAAAGCCUGAUCCAGCAAUGCCGCGUGUAUGAUGAAGGCCUGCGGGUUGUAAAGUACUUUCGUUGGGGAAGAAAUGCUCAAGGCUAAUAUCCUUGAGAGUUGACGUUACCCAAAGAAGAAGCACCGGCUAACUCUGUGCCAGCAGCCGCGGUAAUACAGAGGGUGCAAGCGUUAAUCGGAGUUACUGGGCGUAAAGGGCGCGUAGGUGGAUAUUUAAGUCGGAUGUGAAAUCCCCGGGCUUAACCUGGGAAUUGCAUUCGAUACUGGAUAUCUUGAGUAU